UACGAAGGGGGCUAGCGUUGCUCGGAAUGACUGGGCGUAAAGGGCGCGUAGGCGGCUCAUACAGUCAGAUGUGAAAUUCCUGGGCUUAACCUGGGGGCUGCAUUUGAUACGUGUGGGCUUGAGUGGGGAAGAGGGUCGUGGAAUUCCCAGUGUAGAGGUGAAAUUCGUAGAUAUUGGGAAGAACACCGGUGGCGAAGGCGGCGACCUGGUCCUUGACUGACGCUGAGGCGCGAAAGCUAGGGGAGCAAACGGG
This 253-nucleotide ribosomal RNA is filed under the name uncultured bacterium. Its description in RNAcentral is "partial 16S ribosomal RNA". It matches the Rfam family "Bacterial small subunit ribosomal RNA", at positions 524 to 776 of the family's 1533-position model. The record is from RNAcentral.